Molecule: transfer-messenger RNA, 314 nt
Filed under: Vibrio sp. MedPE-SWchi
Lineage: Bacteria; Pseudomonadati; Pseudomonadota; Gammaproteobacteria; Vibrionales; Vibrionaceae
Rfam family: transfer-messenger RNA
About the family: Bacterial tmRNA, also known as 10Sa RNA or SsrA, is named for its dual tRNA and mRNA-like properties. Its role is to liberate the mRNA from a stalled ribosome. To accomplish this part of the tmRNA is used as a reading frame that ends in a translation stop signal.
Source: RNAcentral
GGGGCUGAUUUAGGAUUCGACAGGAAUUUUGAAGUCUGAGGUGCAUGCCGUGGGGCGGUUGGCCACGUAAAAAGCCGCAAAAAAAUAGUCGCCCCUAGCUUCCGCUUGUAAGACGGGGAAUAACAGAAAGUCAAACCCAAACUAGCUAGAUCGGAUUCUCCCGCCUGAGAGAUGAAGUUCGAAAUAUAAUUCAGGAUAGUCAUUUACUAGCGUGUCGGUUCGCAGGUACUUGGUGAAUUUAAAGAUCGACUAAGCAUGUAGUACCAAUGAUGAAUGAUUUCUGGACGCGGGUUCAACUCCCGCCAGCUCCACCA